AUGUUUGCUGCCCAGAAUUCUCAUCUCUUCAGCUUUCGCUAUAAGUUCCUAUGAUGCUCCUUUUUAGGUGACUUUUCAUGUGAUUUCUGCUUCCAAAAAUUAGAAAAUACCUUCAGAUCAAACCAGCAGAUUUGUAGAUUUCUGGGAAUUGCUGCUACUCCAUCUCCAUCUAGCCAAUGGUCUUUGGUUACUGAUUCUGAGUGAGCUCGAGAAAACACAACUACAAGCUUUCAGGUCCUAAAUGAGAAGGUAAGGAUGUACUUGAGCAGUAUGAGAAGACCCAGUUCCAUCAUCUCAGAAGCCAGAAGUUCCCCAUUUAAUAUCUUUCAUUCUGAAAUUUGUUUAAGAAGAUGGUCAUUCUUCUAUUAGCAGCACGAUUAUGUGUCAAUUGUAGAUUCUUAAUUGCUUAGAAUUAUUUUAUAUGUUUGAUUCCUUCGAUU
Molecule: long non-coding RNA, 440 nt
Organism: Triticum aestivum (bread wheat)
Lineage: Eukaryota; Viridiplantae; Streptophyta; Magnoliopsida; Poales; Poaceae
Exons: 3
Source: RefSeq, a predicted model, not a curated record